GACCUCGUAGCGCAAUGGUAGCGCGUCUGACUUCUGAUCAGAAGGUUGGGUGUUCAAAUCAUUUUGGGGUCA
Molecule: non-coding RNA, 72 nt
Organism: Pseudophryne corroboree (corroboree frog)
Lineage: Eukaryota; Metazoa; Chordata; Amphibia; Anura; Myobatrachidae
Source: the annotation of a RefSeq genome assembly